RNAcentral lists this ribosomal RNA (223 nucleotides) under uncultured bacterium. Its description in RNAcentral is "partial 16S ribosomal RNA". It matches the Rfam family "Bacterial small subunit ribosomal RNA", at positions 113 to 334 of the family's 1533-position model. The record is from RNAcentral.
CGACGUAAGAACCUGCCUCAUAGACUGGGACAACUAUUGAACGAUAGCUAAUACCGGAUAACAGCAUUAACUGCAUGGUUGAUGUUUAAAAGUGGUUUUGCUAACACUAUGAGAUGGCUUUGCGGUGCAUUAGCUAGUUGGUGGGGUAAAGGCCUACCAAGGCGACGAUGCAUAGCCGACCUGAGAGGGUGAUCGGCCACACUGGGACUGAGACACGGCCCAG